Molecule: ribosomal RNA, 447 nt
Filed under: uncultured bacterium
Lineage: Bacteria
Description: partial 16S ribosomal RNA
Rfam family: Bacterial small subunit ribosomal RNA
Source: RNAcentral
AGUGAACGCUGGCGGCAGGCUUAACACACGCAAGUCGAACGCCCCGCAAGGGGAGUGGCAGACGGGUGAGUAACGCGUGGGAAUAUCCCCUUUGGUUCAGGAUAGCCCCGGGAAACUGGGAUUAAUACUGGAUAAGAUCUACGGAUGAAAGAUUUAUCGCCGAAGGAUUAGCCCGCGUAAGAUUAGCUAGUUGGUGAGGUAAUGGCUCACCAAGGCUACGAGCUUUAGCUGGUCUGAGAGGAUGAUCAGCCACACUGGAACUGAGACACGGUCCAGACUCCUACGGGAGGCAGCAGUGAGGAAUAUUGGACAAUGGGCGCAAGCCUGAUCCAGCCAUGCCGCGUGAGUGAUGAAGGCCCUAGGGUUGUAAAACUCUUUUAGUUGGGAAAAUAAUGAUGGUACCAACAGAAAAAGCUCCGGCUAACUUCGUGCCAGCCGCCGCGGUAA